This 621-nucleotide ribosomal RNA is filed under the name uncultured bacterium. RNAcentral's name for it is "bacterial SSU rRNA". It matches the Rfam family "Bacterial small subunit ribosomal RNA", at positions 65 to 733 of the family's 1533-position model. The record is from RNAcentral.
AGCGAAGACUUCGGUCUUAGCGGCGGACGGGUGAGUAACGCGUGGGAACGUGCCUUUCACUACGGAAUAGUCCCGGGAAACUGGGUUUAAUACCGUAUACGCCCUUCGGGGGAAAGAAUUUCGGUGAGAGAUCGGCCCGCGUCUGAUUAGGUAGUUGGUGGGGUAAUGGCCUACCAAGCCGACGAUCAGUAGCUGGUUUGAGAGGAUGAUCAGCCACACUGGGACUGAGACACGGCCCAGACUCCUAUGGGAGGCAGCAGUGAGGAAUCUUGGACAAUGGGGGCAACCCUGAUCCAGCCACGCCGCGUGAACGAUGAAGGCCUUAGGGUUGUAAAGUUCUUUCAACGGUGAAGAUAAUGACGGUAGCCGUAGAAGAAACCCCGGCUAACUCCGUGCCAGCAGCCGCGGUAAUACGGAGGGGGUUAGCGUUGUUCGGAAUUACUGGGCGUAAAGCGCACGUAGGCGGACUAUUAAGUCAGGGGUGAAAUCCCGGGGCUCAACCCCGGAACUGCCUUUGAUACUGGUAGUCUAGAGUUCGAGAGAGGUGAGUGGAAUUCCGAGUGUAGAGGUGAAAUUCGUAGAUAUUCGGAGGAACACCAGUGGCGAAGGCGGCUCACUGGC